UCCACGGUGGCCGAGUGGGCGAAGGCGUGAGACUAUGAUCUCAUUGGUGAAAAUCAGUCGCGGGUUCGACUCCCGUCCGGGGCA
This 84-nucleotide transfer RNA is filed under the name Caenorhabditis remanei. It matches the Rfam family "tRNA". From Rfam's summary of the family: Transfer RNA (tRNA) molecules are approximately 80 nucleotides in length. Their secondary structure includes four short double-helical elements and three loops (D, anti-codon, and T loops). Lineage: Eukaryota; Metazoa; Nematoda; Chromadorea; Rhabditida; Rhabditidae. The record is from Rfam by way of RNAcentral.